GGGUGAGGUGGGUCGUCGUGUUCGGGCGUAGGGUUAGGGGGUAGGGUAGAGAGGGGAGCUGGAGCGCGCGGCAGAGACGGCGCUAGGGAGUGGGGAGUGAGGCGGGGUUUAGCGGCAAAAAAAGAGGGGGUGGGGCGGAGCCUAGCGCGGGCUUGGGGGGAGCGGGCGGGGCGGGGCGCGGGGGCGGGGAGGCUGGGGUGGGGGUUUGGGGGUUAAGAGCGCGGCCGGGACGCGCGUUAGCCUGGCCUAAGGCCGAGCUUAAGCUGGCGCGGCUCCGGGCGGCAGAGGCCGCACGCAGAGAGGAGGUGUCCGCGCCCAAGCCGCGCCCGAGCCCGCCGGGCCUGCCUCGGGGGCGCCUAGAUCCCAAAGCCUCGAUCGAUCCCAAAUGGCGGCCGCCACCGCUAGGCCACUACCACGCCGCGCCGCGGCCGUCGGCCGCUCCUCCCCAGCUACGCCCCGGUACGCGCCGCCACUCGCCGAAGAGCAAGCCGUGUACACCGGCCGUCGAGCGCAUCUCCGUCGUCGAGGUCGUAGCCGCGUGCCUGGAAGAGGAGGGUGAGGAAGGCCGAGCACACGGGAAGGUGGCGACUGUCGGAGGGUGGGUGGCCACGGCUGCUGAGGGGGUCGGUGCGGCGCCUUCGUCGUCGUCGUCCUGCCUGCCCUCUAAGCUCAACCGCUGACACGAGAAAAAGCACGAUAACUACAAGGAGGAAAGCAACCUAACUAUGCAACCUAACUCUUCGUCCUUCUUUCGUUAGGGUUCAAUGCACAUUCAACCGAUAUAUCUGGACGACUGCAGUCCGAGUUGUUCCCCUAUGUUGACUUGCGACGGGGUUUGCUCCAGAAGAUGAGAAAGGUGGUUCUGCUCUGUAGACGACAAAGUGACGAGGUAGGAACAUUUCAACGGAAAAAUGCAUUUCCACGACUCGACAGUAGACCCUAAAGAAGUAAACAUACAGCCGCACACAUACUAUAACUGUUGUUCACAAAUACCACCGAAUGGCUGUCUCUAAUAUAAUUACUUGCCGUCCUUCUUCAUUUAGCCGAGGAUCUGUCUUGCUUCGAUCUUUACGUACCACGUCACGCCAGUCCACCCGUGAGUGGUUUUGCCGGUUUACAAGACAGUCGAAGGGUCGUUAACUUCCGAACAAGUCUGCCACGAGUUUUAACACCGGGUAGAUUUCCCUUCUUCUCCCUGUCUCCACUCGUUCCUUAACUUGGUCGAUUCGCUCUAUCACUAACAGGAGGAUUCCAACUACUGUCACUUGGACCUUUACAAUUCCCCCUGUUAUACUUCAGACUUUAACGUCUCUACUGUCUUUUCCUACCUGAAGGAGUACGACUUCGACAACUGUUCGAUCAAGUUAAGUACGUUGAACUAGUUUAACUCGCCUUUUACCUGGAACGGCCGGCUCAUUCCGAACGACUAUAAUAACGUCGGUGUCUUUCAGGACUAACGGAAUCGUCUAAAUACGUUGAUUCCCCGGAAGGCCAGAACUUACUAACCGAAGUUCUUUGAGUGUUUCCCUUCAGACCACUUCCCCCAUCAGGAUUUCUUUGACUAUUCGGAUGACUUCUUGAAUAGGACCGGGACGAAGCACGUGAUCGCUUUAACGGAUAGUCAGACUAACGGAAUGUUUCGACGUCAUAACCCUUUAGACAGUUAGUAGACGCGUCGAUAUUUUUAGGCCUCUAUGUCUCCUUCCGAUCCAUAGAACAACUAUCGACCUUCUUCGCACAACUACGACUUUACUUCAGCUGACUACGUUUUGGACAUCACAGUCCAGUUCGACAAAGGACCAGUCCUUUUCACCCCAAGGGCCUUUAAAGAUCACGACCUUUGCCUGCUUCACCGAGUUCACUCGGGUCAGGCUUUUCACGUCCCAAAGUAGAAAGAAGUGGUUUCCGAAACUCACGAUGUAGACCACGACGACUACGACAACGUUUCAGUUUAGGAAAGUGUAGACCGAGAAGUUUUAAUGUUGUGUACGUUGGUCGUUUACGACGUCGGUUGAACUUCCUGAGUGGUACGUUUAGUCGACGACCCUGAACACCGGGACUAAAAGGAUGUCACUUUCUCCUCUUUUCAACGUCAAGUUCGGUGAGUAACUUAUUGUCGGUCAGUACGAGAUCACUAGGACCUUUUUGUCAACCAAGAAACUUCCUCCUACGUGCCUCGAGUUGACGACAAAGUCGCUCACGGUCAUUUUAAAGACGUGAACCGGUAGCUUCCCAUUUGUUACCCGAAGAACCAAGACCUAAGGUCUUCCUUCGACGAAACCCUUCCAGGUCGGUUUCACUAUCAAGAAAUAACGUCCUUUCUAGUAGUGUCAGACCGAACCGUACACUCUUUCCUCGACUGUGUGGAGUGUAGUUGUUAGUUUCUAACUAACAAGCCAAAGGUUUUGGUUCAACAUCGGGACGAUCCUCGUGUUCACCCCCGAGAACACUCCUCGGUAGUCAAAGUCCCUCAUCUCGAAGUAGAGGACAAGUGCGUCUAUUCGUACUUGUCUUACUAGCAUCCCACUUUUACUUCCAACUUUUAAGAGUCCGAGUAAAUCCAAGACUACGAUUACGGCUCGGACUCGCUUCGUUACUAUGAUUUUCUUAACGUCCAAGGCUCCUUCCACUAUUUAGUGGAACACCAUACGACCUACCACUGACAUCGUCCUGACGACUUCUUAGACGAUUCCUAUGUACACGUAGUGCUCAACGUACGAGCCGUUUAUACCUACUUUUUCUGCAGACGAAUCCACUUUGGUCUCACGCCUUGAAGUCGGGAAACUUACGAAACUAACUUUAGUUUAUGAGGCUUCCAUCAGUAAGGUACGUUCGACCUCUACUAUGUCGUUACUUAGAAGAACGAUCACAACGACCUCUUCAUAGAUUUAGACUUAACUACAGUAGACGAAGUGGCUGCUUAAGCAGACGUUUAUUUGUACCGAUACCUCCGGUCUUAUAAGUCUUCGAUUUUCAUCUCACACUACGUCCGGGUAGUGUCGUGGACCUAGGUAGUCUACUACAACUCUUUCAGUAGAGACUCUUCCUUCUGUUUUUACUACUCCUUGCUGCGAACUCCUUAAGACCUUGAAUAAAUAGUAGGGUACUGUUGUUCCCUUGUAGUAGAUGAUCGGGCGGAGAUGGACCUUAUCUAAGAUUUCGACAACUUAGAAGUCAACUAAAUGAACCACCACCACUAGGCUUCGGUUUACGGUCUGUCGGUUGACUAUAAUUCUAACUACGUUUCAAGUUAUAGUCGUAACGACUGCGGCUGCGCCGUAGUCCGUCAGUUACAUCACACCAACGAGGUUUAUCUUGUAAUGAGGGGAGACUCCUUAGCAGAAAUACACCACGACUAUUUGUUCCAGUUCCAAAUAACUUUAGUAGUCUAGUCUGUGUAGAAGUACCAGAUGGUCUAGUGGAGCUUUGGUAGUCUAGAUGACUGUUGUCACCGCGACUAUUUAACCUAAGUUUCUGAAGUAAGAGUAGAAACCAACACCUAUAUUUUUUACGACUACCAGAUCACCAAACGUUAUUUCACGACUUUCUCGUACUCUUUUUUCUUGUCGGACGCAGGUGAAGUCGACUACAAUGGUUUGGUCUACAUAGUCAUCACGGUGAACCACGUCGCUUACCCUAUAGACACUAAUCUCUUAGUUUUCUGACAAGGUCACUUAGUUCAUCAGUUCGUUUUGUAGCGUGAUAGUACAGAGUCCUAUGGCUCGUAUGACGUUCCGUGUCAAGUUUCUUUGGCUCACUACUUCACCCACCCUUUCUCCUGUAACAGAGUAGUCUGCUCCCAAGAAGAUACCGAUUGUGGUUGAGUUUACCAUGUCGAUUCGAACUGAAACUAAACUUACUUGAACCCCUGCUCCCCUUAGUGAGACUCGGUCGAUGGAGAUGACAACAUACAAGCAGACGUUAAGUAAAUGGGCCAGAAAGAGGUAAGCAGAGUGGAUAAAAUUCACCAGACGGCCGGGUUUAUUGUCAACGACGAGGUCGAUUUCCUGGAAAACAGGGAGGGCUCUUGGAUGAUUCCCACUUCGGACUCCGACCCACCUUUCCACGUCGUCGAUGUUCACGUAAAGCAGGACGCCUCGGUGCCUUCUGAAAUCCCUACAAAGAUUGAUGUGGACCAUCACGUCACAGACUACGACGGCCCUCCGUUAGAGCGGUUCGUAAACUGUAACUAGAUUUACAUCGUCUACUGGUUCAAGAUCUCCUUCUAUAGAGUGUCUCAAGACGGGCCUGUUAACCAAGACUUAGACCGUUGGGAUCUUCAACGUCACCGGGACAUGCUUCACGACCGAAACUUGAACUGAACUUAUACCGGCCGCUUCAACGUCUCUUAUUGGUUAAAUAGAGUUUACGAAGUGUGUCUCAACUUCAGUGUAACAACGGUAGUUCUGGCAACGGUCUUCCAAAUGGAUCAUGACUAUGUUCAUCGAGCUCCUUGAAGAAACUAGAGUUAUUGCCUGGUUCGGAACUACUUCGGUCAUGUCUCGGACGUGUUUCCUGGGAUAGUAGAUUUCCACGAUCGUCGUAUGGUAAGGAUGGAGUUCAACGACCGGAAUCUUACUUGUUAUGACUUUAAUCAUUGUACAGUGGUACCAUACGAAGACGAUUGGGUCCACCAGGGCAUCGAUACGUCAGCAAAAAAGGAGGAUCUCUUGUCAGAAUGGGUUAACUUUGUCGUGGACCUUGGGUCUCCUAGUAACGCGGAUGACGUCUGCCGCCGGUUAAACCUUCACCAAGUCCGUCCGGAGGUCAAUAAAGGUGUAGUGGUCGGUACCAGAAGGUGGGAGGCCGUAUAGUUAUACGUCCUAAAGGAAAACGAGGGCCACAAGUGGAAGUUUGUCGUCCCAAAGGUUAACCUAGCCACGGUAUACCGUUAAGACGUGGACGUCCUCAAUGUAUAAAAGGUUGGUAACGAGGUAGUAAACGACCCAGUUGUCCGCGUAAUGGACGGGUCGUACGUUCCGUCAUACGUUAUUUGGAAGGACUUCCAUCGUCGUCACUACCCGUACUGUCAUUGACCUUUACCUCUUCUGUCCCCGAACUGGAAUUAAGACCUGGACCUUCAUAUCUAUAUCUUCCCUUUCUGCUCGCUCAUGGAGAUAGCGAAUCCGUUUUAAACUAGUGUGGCGGUGUUCGCAAACACCUCCUCGUUCGUUCUUACAAUGUUUACCGCCCACAUCCUUAUUUCUCCUUCCUUGGGCUCCCGUCAACCCUACGACUUUCUCGUAGUAGUAUGUUUGUUGAUAGUACCGUUAUUCUUGAAGUUCCUCAAGAGGAACGUCGCUGAAGUCUCAGACACGAAAAUAAACGUCCCCGCUGACUUACCCCACAACAUAACGUGGGCAAACCCGCACCACUCUAUAUGUUCAGUGUACCUAAGUAGAGGAACUACUAAACUUAACGCUCUCCUUGUUUGGAAACGACAUUAACGACAUUUACAAUCAGUAUAGGUAUGAAUGGACCUUGUCAAAACGAGUCGAAGUCGUCAACGGAACGAUCUCAAAGACAUGGACGGUCCGAACGAAGAUAAAAUGGGUCCUCCCAUACCGAAACCUCUACCUUGCCACUAAACAGGAGCCGUAGAAGUUCGUAGACUUUGGCGACAUAAAUCAAAGCCAGCCCAACAAAAUUCAAGAAAAAAAGGCUAUUUCACAAAAGUGUAACGACUCCUGCAGUCGUCAAAUUGUAUACUAAAUCUACACUGUACAUAAGGACGACCCUUCGCAAUAUUGGCAUCUACUCCUUCUUUAUUAAGCGGAACUAACUGCAACAGAAGACGUAGUUCGAACGGACAACCAAAGGUACACGAAAGCCGGUACGUUUAAAAGCAUACACGAACACAAUAAGGUCCAUACCAAA
RNAcentral lists this ribosomal RNA (5877 nucleotides) under Triticum aestivum (bread wheat). Its description in RNAcentral is "partial small subunit ribosomal RNA". The record is from RNAcentral. Lineage: Eukaryota; Viridiplantae; Streptophyta; Magnoliopsida; Poales; Poaceae.